GACACCACUAACAAAGAUAUACCUUAGUUGAGGUAAUCCCCAAAUAUCAAGGGGUUCACAUGAUGAUGAAUAACCAUAAACUUCUAGUUUCUGUAGAUUCCGCAACAUGAACAAAGGCUGACAAUGAAUAUUCAACUCAGAACGAAUACAUAAUUACCUUCUC
Molecule: long non-coding RNA, 163 nt
Organism: Ipomoea nil (Japanese morning glory)
Lineage: Eukaryota; Viridiplantae; Streptophyta; Magnoliopsida; Solanales; Convolvulaceae
Exons: 3
Source: RefSeq, a predicted model, not a curated record